Hemicordylus capensis (graceful crag lizard) is the source of this 701-nucleotide long non-coding RNA. RefSeq lists it as uncharacterized. Lineage: Eukaryota; Metazoa; Chordata; Lepidosauria; Squamata; Cordylidae. The record is from RefSeq and is a predicted model, not a curated record. The transcript has 3 exons.
AGGAGUAGGGCGAGGCAGGACCCCCGGGCCUGCCUGGGGCGACAGGACUGGAGGCGGCGGGGUGCGCCGCUGCUGCCAGCCAGAGCAGGUCAGGCGGAACUGGCUGGAGCAAGGGCCCGACUCGGCUGGCAGCAGCCCCUGUUCCCACCCCCUUCAAAGUGGGGGAGCGCGGGGGGCAUACAUGCUUUGUUGUUGUUGAUUUGGCUUUUAAGCCCACCGGGUCGGUUUGUGUCUCUUUAAAGGCCUGGGCUGGGCGGCGGCAGCAGCAGCAGGAGAAGCUGCUCAGUAGGAAAGACAAGGCAGGGCUGGGCCCAAUCCCCGGGGCUGAGGGGCGGAAGCCUGAGAGGUGAACCACAUCUGUUAUUGGCUGGGGAGCCUGGAACAGGAAAAUCUCAGUUUCUAAAAUAUGCAGUAAAGAUUACUCCACGAUCUGUACUGAGAGCAGGAAUUGGAUCUACAAGUGCAGGGCAUUAUUCUUAUGUGAAGGAGCAUCCCUACACUGUAUUCCUGUCUGUCGCAACACCGCUGGGACUCCACCACAUCGUCCGACUGCACCGUGUAGACCAGAACAAGCUCAGCUCCAGCCGACAGGGUUUGCUUCCUAAUGUUGCUUAUGCCAUCAAAGCAUACGGGUUGGCUUAAUCUGGACAUUACUCAAAGAACAUUACUGUAUUAUUAUUAAAAGUACAAUUUAGGCAUUG